AGCAGUAGCCACGGUAAUACGAAGGGUGCAAGCGUUAAUCGGAAUUACUGGGCGUAAAGCGUGCGUAGGCGGUUUGUUAAGUCUGCUGUGAAAUCCCCGGGCUCAACCUGGGAAUGGCAGUGGAUACUGGCAAGCUAGAGUGUGUCAGAGGAUGGUGGAAUUCCCGGUGUAGCGGUGAAAUGCGUAGAGAUCGGGAGGAACAUCAGUGGCGAAGGCGGCCAUCUGGGACAACACUGACGCUGAGGCACGAAAGCGUGGGGAGCAAACAGGAUUAGAUACCCGCGUAGUCCCUGUCUCUUAUAC
This 303-nucleotide ribosomal RNA is filed under the name uncultured bacterium. Its description in RNAcentral is "partial 16S ribosomal RNA". It matches the Rfam family "Bacterial small subunit ribosomal RNA", at positions 507 to 807 of the family's 1533-position model. The record is from RNAcentral.